This 254-nucleotide ribosomal RNA is filed under the name uncultured bacterium. RNAcentral's name for it is "partial 16S ribosomal RNA". It matches the Rfam family "Bacterial small subunit ribosomal RNA", at positions 524 to 776 of the family's 1533-position model. The record is from RNAcentral.
GGCGGAGGGGGCAAGCGUUGUUCGGAUUUAUUGGGCGUAAAGGGCUCGUAGGCGGACUGGUAAGUCUGGCGUGAAAUCUCCACCACUCAACGGGGAGGGGCCGUCGGAAACUGUCAGUCUGGAGUAUGGUAGAGGACCAUGGAAUUCCAGGUGUAGCGGUGGAAUGCGUAGAGAUCGGAAAGAACACCAACGGCGAAAGCACUCUGCUGGGCCGACACUGACACUGAGAGACGAAAGCUAGGGGAGCGAAUGGG